GGCAGGACCAGCCACAAUUAACUAAAAAAAAACUAAAACUUGGAAAAACAAUCGAGUGAGACAAAAGAGGAUUAUUGUACGAGAACAAAACCACCUGCUCGGACGAUAUCGCCGUCGUCUUCCUCCUCCCCUUUGGGCACCGUGACCACCAAUUCACCGUCACUAAAACGGGCACUAGCCAGUUCCGGCAGAGUUGUGGCCGGAAGCCGAAAUCGCCACAAGUCGAGGUCCAAUGAAGAAUCAAAAACGUUAUCAGCUCGGAUAACAAUCUUAGUAACACCCGGAUAGAUCUCAACUAUGUGAGCUCUAAUAUUAUCGCCGACAUCAUCUGUUGGGAUGACAAAUCGCAACGAAUCAGAAGUUUCGUGGAUUGAAACAUCAGAAUCGGAAUGAAAAGGAAGUUCUAGAACCUUGGCAAAAAUAUGAGGUAGUCUCCG
This 437-nucleotide unclassified non-coding RNA is filed under the name Hevea brasiliensis (rubber tree). Lineage: Eukaryota; Viridiplantae; Streptophyta; Magnoliopsida; Malpighiales; Euphorbiaceae. The record is from RNAcentral.